Molecule: long non-coding RNA, 1798 nt
Organism: Bos taurus (domestic cattle)
Lineage: Eukaryota; Metazoa; Chordata; Mammalia; Artiodactyla; Bovidae
Source: Ensembl
ACUGUGGGGGAGGGAAAAGUCUGAUCCACCAGGAUCACGUCCCCCAAAGGAGGCCAGAUUCAGGAGGCUGGGUCCUGCUUACCUGCCGCCAGGGGGGCUGUGUUCUCACUUCACUCAGUCCUUGUGGUGCAACUAAACCCAAGCCAAGCAGGGGUGGCCGAAGCUGUCCCAAGAUGAGUGAGGUAGAACCCUGGACACCGUGGACAUUGCUGUGGUUGUGGAGAAGAACCUGAACCAAGCCCUUCUGGGUCUUCAUACCCUGGUUCUGCCUGUGCAGACCCCUGUCUCUGUGACGUCCUGGAGAAUCACUUCACAGAUGAGGAGGUGAAACUCAGCAAGAAUUUGGGGAUCCACCUGACAGACUGGCUGCCGUUGGGCCGUUUAAACAGUGCUGGAGUGAUCCAUCCCUUAAAGGUUUGGUGGAACCUGAGGGGCCAACCUCAGCCUGCAGCUGGCACCUGAAAAGAAGGCCUCAGUGACUCAGAUGAUUGAUCCCAGCAGGGCAGUUUCCGUGGAGCCGACCAUAAGCCUCAGAGAUGCAGACUCCCACGUCCUUGGGGUGGGACUCUCCCUCCCUCCAUCCUGGAUCUUCUUGCUGGUCGAGCCUGUAAGAAUUCCACCUGGAGAGGUCACAGCGGAGCUGGUGGGCAGACAGGACCCAGGGAGAGAUGGGCUGGAUUGAGAGGGGAGAAUUUCUUCAGGCGAGGUUCUGUGACAGGGUGGCUGCGAGGUCAGGCUGGGCUCUGGUUACCCCUUGCCUCUCCUCCAUCUCUCCCAGAGCCCGCCAGAGAGGAGGAUCACAUGUCGGAGUGUAUGUGUCUGUUGUCUGUUUGGGCAGCUGGGUCUCCCCCCGCCCCAGCCUCCGCCGCAGCUCUCUGCUGUUCUGUCCGUGGGGGUCCAGGCGGCCGUGGUACUUCUGCCCACCCUGGUUGCCCUCCGCUGCAGCACCUUGUGUCCCGCGACCAGUAGCCGACCGCCAGGCUCCAGUCUGUGUCUGCCAAGGACGCAUCUUCCCAACACUUCCCCGUGACAACCUCAGGUGGAAGCAAUUUCACCGUCUUGUAACUCACCGGGUCAUUAUAAUUAGUAUCCCGGCGCCCAGGGCGAGGGCGGAAGAAAGGAAAGAAAAGACUCGAUCCAGCCAGGCGAAGAGCAGCAGCCUCUGGGGGCUGGGGCGGCCUUUCCUCCUGCUCCAGCUCGUAACUCAGAUUUUCUCAGGACUGAUUCCAUCACGUCCCUCCCCUCCGUGUGUGCAAGGUGGGAGGUGGUCGAGGAGUCAGGCACUGCUCCGCUGGGCCCUGGGCAUACACAGCGGGAGUCUCUGACCUGAGUGAGGCUCCCCUGCCCCCUGAGAGCCCACAUCUGAGGCUGGGGUCCACGGUGAGGGCCCUGCAGGGAGAGAUCAGUACCUCCCACAUCCCCGUGGACCCUCCCUGCCUCUGGGUCCCUGCAGCCCCAGAGCCAGAGCCCAUCAAGAGCUGGUGAUGGUGACCAUGGGCACAGCUGGGUUCCACCCCAGGCACAGCUAGGAUAGGUAUGACUCUGAGAGAAGCAGCCAGGUGGGGGAACAGGACGUGUCAGGGAGCAAGAUUUCCCAUCAGGGGACACGGGUUCGAUCCCCGGUCGGGGAACUAGGAUCCCACAUCCGGCGAGACAGCUAAGCCCGUGUGCUAGCACUACCGAGUCCUCACCCUCCAGAGCCUGCCAGCCGCAACUAGCGAGGCCAUGCAUCACGAUGAAAGGUCCUGCUUGACACAACGAAGACCCAAGGCCGCCAAAGAAGCACAUGCAUGCAUAA